CAGUAGCCGCGGUAAAACCGAGGGUGCAAGCGUUAAUCGGAAUUACUGGGCGUAAAGCGCGCGUAGGUGGUUCGCCAAGUUGGAUGUGAAAUCCCCGGGCUCAACCUGGGAACUGCAUCCAAAACUGGCGAGCUAGAGUAUGGUAGAGGGUGGUGGAAUUUCCUGUGUAGCGGUGAAAUGCGUAGAUAUAGGAAGGAACAUCAGUGGCGAAGGCGACCACCUGGACUGAUACUGACACUGAGGUGCGAGAGCGUGGGGAGCAAACAGGAUUAGAUACCCGCGUAGUCCCUGUCUCUUAUAC
Molecule: ribosomal RNA, 301 nt
Filed under: uncultured bacterium
Lineage: Bacteria
Description: partial 16S ribosomal RNA
Rfam family: Bacterial small subunit ribosomal RNA
Source: RNAcentral